UCUGGGGUAAACGGAUGGAGCCCUAACGCUCGAAAGAGGAGAUUCAGUAUCCAGUCCCAGCUGCCGCACCGCGUCGCGGGGAAAGCGGGCCGCCUCGGCGACCCGUGGCCCGCGGCGCGUUCUUGCGCGCAGGGGGGGGAGCGCACUUCUCCUCGAGUAGGACGCCGCGACCCGUUGGGCGUCGGUCUAAGGCCCGGGUGCGAGCCCGCCGCUCUCGUAGCGGCGGAGCCCCGGUGUCCCGGCCGUCUGCCCGACGGUGGGUUAAUGGGUGUCUGCCCGCGAGCUAUCAGCUCGCGCCCGUGCCUCGCGCGAGCGCGCGUUCGGACCCCGCGUCGCGGACUCGUUCCGCAGCGGACCGACCGCCGCUGUCUGCGCGGGGAUUUCUCGGGCCGUGGCAGUCCCGUUGGCGGCGGAGAAAAAGGGCGGCCCAUCCGGCCCGUCUUGAAACACGGACCAAGGAGUCUAACACGUGCGCGAGUCGUCGGGCACCGCUACACCCGAAGGCGCAUUGAACGAAAAGGCCGGUCCUCGUGACCGGCCGAGGGAUGAUGGAGGAGGCCUCGGUCUCCUCUCGCAAUCCCGGGGCGUCUCGUCCUACGUCCGCUCGUCGGUCGAAGGUGAGGCGCACCAAGAGCGCACGCGUUGGUACCCGAAAGAUGGUGAACUAUGCCUGGCCAGGACGAAGUCAGGGGAAACCCUGAUGGAGGUCCGUAGCGAUUCUGACGUGCAAAUCGAUCGUCAGAGCUGGGUAUAGGGGCGAAAGACUAAUCGAACC
Molecule: ribosomal RNA, 775 nt
Filed under: Ephoron leukon
Lineage: Eukaryota; Metazoa; Arthropoda; Insecta; Ephemeroptera; Polymitarcyidae
Description: eukaryotic LSU rRNA
Rfam family: Eukaryotic large subunit ribosomal RNA (bases 453-775)
Source: RNAcentral